CAAUAUAAUAAUAUUGACUCGAACAGUAUAUAUUUUGUGACUAUGUACACAAAUACAAAUAUAUAUAUAUAUACAUGCUAUAAUGUUAAACCAGCAUGAUACCAUUGUCGGACGUUAAACAACGCUCUAUAAUAUUCAUCUCGGUCAAUAUUGUCUUUUUCGCCAUUCGCGGGGGGGGGGGUUCGACUACGGUUGUUACGCAAAACAAUUGACCUUUAUACACGCGACCGGUAUUAUUUCAUGAAAGGCGGGUUAGGGAGACGUUAACCUUUAAUGGCAGUCCAACCUUUACAACCGAUUUUAGUCUAAUAUUUUACGCUACCAAUAAUAGGUGGAUAUACAACUUAUAUUACAGGUACACCGUUACUUAUACUUAAAAUUAUACUACUCGUUAUUGGUUGAUAUGUUUUAGUUAUUAUAAACAUCGGCGGUCUAUAUGCAAAAAGGUAACCGGGUUACCCUGGAUUUUCACCACUAAAAAACACAAUGAAAAUAAUAUUUUACACAAAAAUGUUUACAAUAAAUUACAAAUUGUAUAAUGUACAGAGUGACCAUAUUAAAUCAACAUAGUAAGUUAUUAAAUUAUAACAGCUUUAUAUUUUGUAACUUUGACCUUUGUAUAUAGUAAUUACAUUUAAUAUAAUCUUAUCAAUACU
Non-coding RNA from Cinara cedri, 656 nucleotides. Lineage: Eukaryota; Metazoa; Arthropoda; Insecta; Hemiptera; Aphididae. The record is from the annotation of a GenBank genome assembly.